Non-coding RNA from Rhamnusium bicolor, 68 nucleotides. NCBI's taxonomy places the organism in Eukaryota, Metazoa, Arthropoda, Insecta, Coleoptera, Cerambycidae. The record is from the annotation of a GenBank genome assembly.
UUGUAGUUGAGUGGUAAGGACACCUGCCUCUCACCCUGGAGUCCCGGAUUCGAUCCCCGGUUGAGGAG